UUCGAAUUUUCUGAUAAAAGGGCUAUUUAUUGUGAAUUAUUGAAGUUCCGGAGUUCCUAAAUAAUUGAUUUUUGGAAGUUUUAAUUAUUAUUUUGAAGAAAAACGUUUUUGCCAUUUGAGAGGCACAUGUUAAGGAUGGAAAUCAGCUGAGUUCAGAUGUCUAGACCAAAAGUGUGGGCUAAGGAAUUUUGUUUAUAAAUAAUAUUAUUAUAUUCAAUUUUCUACUUUGGUGUUCUAAGCAUUUUCCUAUAAAUAGGGAGCUUAGGUUAGAAUUGAAAAUCACACCAGAAACUGAAGUUUUCUCUCUAUUUCUCUCUCGAUAUUUUGAGCGUAUUCUUGUGAGUAUACUUUGAGUGUUGAUAUACGGUGCAAGUUCAAGUCAUAGCCUAUAUCCGGUGUUUCAACUAGAAGUACUGUCUUU
RNAcentral lists this long non-coding RNA (421 nucleotides) under Panax ginseng (ginseng). RNAcentral describes it as "long non-coding RNA (PGIN_LNC015315)". The record is from RNAcentral. Lineage: Eukaryota; Viridiplantae; Streptophyta; Magnoliopsida; Apiales; Araliaceae.